This 253-nucleotide ribosomal RNA is filed under the name uncultured bacterium. Its description in RNAcentral is "partial 16S ribosomal RNA". It matches the Rfam family "Bacterial small subunit ribosomal RNA", at positions 524 to 776 of the family's 1533-position model. The record is from RNAcentral.
GACGAACCGAGCGAACGUUGUUCGGAAUCACUGGGCUUAAAGGGCGCGUAGGCGGACCGUCAAGUCAGGGGUGAAAGCCCGCGGCUCAACCGCGGAAGUGCCUUUGAUACUGGCGGUCUCGAGGGAGGUAGGGGCGUGCGGAACUUCCGGUGGAGCGGUGAAAUGCGUAGAUAUCGGAAGGAACACCGGUGGCGAAAGCGGCGCGCUGGACCUCUUCUGACGCUGAGGCGCGAAAGCCAGGGGAGCGAACGGG